AGUUUUGCGCUGUGGCAGUAUUGUAGCCAAUGAGGUUUAUCUGAGGUACGAUUAUUGCUAAGAGAAAAAGUACCAGACUUAAGUGCCACCUGAUGAUUCGCAAUUGGAAGUACAUGACACCUAUGAAGUCUUCUGGCCAAAGAAUUGAGGCUGGGUCUUAUUAAACCUUUAAGUCUAACAAUCAGUUUUGAAAUUUUUAUAGAUUAAAGGAAGU
Equus caballus (horse) is the source of this 214-nucleotide small nuclear RNA. Its record names the gene U4. It matches the Rfam family "U4 spliceosomal RNA". Rfam says of the family: U4 small nuclear RNA (U4 snRNA) is a component of the major U2-dependent spliceosome. The structure of U4 snRNA from yeast and human has been reported. NCBI's taxonomy places the organism in Eukaryota, Metazoa, Chordata, Mammalia, Perissodactyla, Equidae. The record is from Ensembl.